Molecule: ribosomal RNA, 49 nt
Filed under: Irpex lacteus
Lineage: Eukaryota; Fungi; Basidiomycota; Agaricomycetes; Polyporales; Irpicaceae
Description: partial 28S ribosomal RNA
Source: RNAcentral
AUCAGGUAGGACUACCCGCUGAACUUAAGCAUAUCAAUAAGCCGGAGGA